AAUGAUGAAUGUCAUAGAUUAGACAUAGAAUAGUUUAUUCUAUAAAUGAAAGUGUAAGCAUUCCACCUCAAGAGUAAUUUGGCAACAUUGGAACUGAAAUCAUUAGACCGUUUCUGAAACCAGUAGUGAAGUAUGUUGUUUAAUUUGAUAAUCCGCAAAAAACCUUACCACAAUUUGAAUAUUUAUAUUAUUUUUCUGAUCUGUUACAUGAAAGGAAAAAAUAUAUUUACAAGCGUUGCACGGCUGUCUUCAGUUAAUGUCGUGAGAUUUUGGUUAGUUCCAUUAAAUUAACGUAAACCCUUACUUUAUUUUUAUAUAAAGUAGUUCCCCACUAGAUUGGAUAAGAUAACAGGGACUAAGACAAGUCAUCAUGGCCUAAAUAUUGU
This 386-nucleotide ribosomal RNA is filed under the name Lecanora horiza. RNAcentral's name for it is "SSU rRNA". It matches the Rfam family "Bacterial small subunit ribosomal RNA", at positions 805 to 1210 of the family's 1533-position model. The record is from RNAcentral. Lineage: Eukaryota; Fungi; Ascomycota; Lecanoromycetes; Lecanorales; Lecanoraceae.